UACGAAGGGUGCAAGCGUUGCUCGGAAUUAUUGGGCGUAAAGGGUAGGUAGGUGGUAAUAAAAGUCUGGGGUGAAAUCCCUGAGCUCAACUCAGGACGUGCCUUGGAAACUUUAUUACUAGAGUGCUGGAGAGGUUCGCAGAAUUCCCGGUGUAGCGGUGAAAUGCGUAGAGAUCGGGAGGAAUACCAGAGGCGAAGGCGGCGAACUGGACAGCAACUGACACUCAACUACGAAAGCGUGGGUAGCAAACAGGAUUAGAUACCCUGGUAGUCCACGCUGUAAACGAUCGGUACUAGAGUUGGUGGGAGUUGACCCCCGCCGACUCGGAGCUAACGCGAUAAGUACCGCGCCUGGGAAGUACGGUCGCAAGACUAAA
This 376-nucleotide ribosomal RNA is filed under the name uncultured bacterium. RNAcentral's name for it is "bacterial SSU rRNA". It matches the Rfam family "Bacterial small subunit ribosomal RNA", at positions 524 to 898 of the family's 1533-position model. The record is from RNAcentral.